Molecule: long non-coding RNA, 809 nt
Organism: Cyprinus carpio carpio
Lineage: Eukaryota; Metazoa; Chordata; Actinopteri; Cypriniformes; Cyprinidae
Source: Ensembl
GCUCAAACUGUGAAAUCAUUUUCAUUAAUGAAAUGUUCACCACAGUUUCCCAAGCGUAACUCUACCGAAAGUCUUUUAGGAUGUGCUGGAUUAGACUUUACAGUUCGAUUUUCCCAUUGUCAAUACAAGAUCUUGGUGCAACUCUUGAUAGAAAUAAAUGCUGUGAUGUGCAUAGUGUUGUCGAAACAAUGCCACAACCAAAGCACAAUGUUAUCAAAGCUAAAGGCGGCAGUCCAAUGAAAUAUUAGUGUGUGCAACCUUUUAGGACAGGCAGUGUAAAGUGGACUCCAGCACAUCCCAAGACUUUCAAUGGGGUUAAAUUCAUGACUCUGUUGCACCCUCUAUCGCACAGAAUAAGCGAUGCAGGUAAACAUUUCCAUGAGUCGCACUGGUACGGCUCACAGGGAUUUCCCGCUUACAUCUCUGUUAGAGAGGUGAGCUUCAAACUCGGCUCCGUCUGAACAUCACCGAACACGAGCUCCCCGACCCCCAUCUCACAGAGCUAUCGCCUUCCAAAGAGCCAACUUUAACUGGCUACAACUCCAGACAGAGCUGAGUGCCUUUAGACAGGUUGGAGACUCCUGUGGUGCCGUGGACCUGAUGAGUCUGAAAUAAAACAUUCCCUGGAAGAAACAUCACCACUAGUCCAAAGCUCCGUCCAUCCGUGGUAAAGACCAAAUUGUUUUCUUCACUGAGAUGAUCACCUUUGAUGAAUUGAGGACCAGCCAAACAUCAGAAUUCUUGGACCAACAUUCAAACAAAUGGAAAAAACAACAAAAAAACAGCUGCAAUAAAUAAGAAAAUUUGUU